UAUGUGAUCGUCUCUCGCAUAUCAAUAAGCGGAGGAAAAGAAACUAACAAGGAUUCCCUUAGUAACGGCGAGUGAAGCGGGAAGAGCUCAAAUUUGAAAUCUUCAAGGUUUUACCUUGACGAAUUGUAGUUUAAAGAAGUGUUUUCUGUUGAAGUUUUGGUAAAAGUUCUUUGGAAUAGGACAUCAUAGAGGGUGAGAAUCCCGUAUUUGACCAUUAUUUUCAGCUGUGUGAUACACUUUCAAAGAGUCGGAUUGUUUGGGAAUGCAGUCCAAAAUGGGUGGUAAAUUUCAUCUAAAGCUAAAUAUUGGCGAGAGACCGAUAGCGAACAAGUACCGUGAGGGAAAGAUGAAAAGAACUUUGAAAAGAGAGUUAAACAGUACGUGAAGAUUGUCAGAAGGGAAGCGAUUUGACACCAGUGUUGUUUUCUCGAGAAAUCAAUUAAAAAGAGUUAGAUUUUGUUGUGUAUUGACCUUAACAGCUUGCAUUUCAAUUUUCUUGCUCUUUUUAAUGCACUUUUCGUUUAACAAGUCAACAUCAGUUUCUUUUGUCGUAAAAAGGUCAUUGGAAGGUGGCUUUCUUUUCGGAGAAAGUGUUUAUAGCCUUUGACUCCUGCAAUCGGAGAGACUGAGGUCUGCAGCGUAGAUCCUUCGGGGUUAGAUACAUUUGUGCUAAGUUAUAGCUUUUUAUAGACAACUUGUUGACUAUGAUUAGUCUUGUAGCUUACUCGCUUAUGCUAUUUUACCUACGCUUAGGAUGUUGAAGAUGUAGCACAUCAU
This 777-nucleotide ribosomal RNA is filed under the name uncultured Neocallimastigales. RNAcentral describes it as "partial large subunit ribosomal RNA". It matches the Rfam family "Eukaryotic large subunit ribosomal RNA", at positions 24 to 646 of the family's 3401-position model. Lineage: Eukaryota; Fungi; Neocallimastigomycota; Neocallimastigomycetes; Neocallimastigales. The record is from RNAcentral.